GGAGGUUGUGCCCUUGAGGCGUGGCUUCCGGAGCUAACGCGUAAGUCGACCGCCUGGGGAGUACGGCCGCAAGGUUAAAACUCAAAUGAAUUGACGGGGGCCCGCACAAGCGGUGGAGCAUGUGGUUUAAUUCGAUGCAACGCGAAGAACCUUACCUACUCUUGACAUCCAGAGAACUUUCCAGAGAUGGAUUGGUGCCUUCGGGAACUCUGAGACAGGUGCUGCAUGGCUGUCGUCAGCUCGUGUUGUGAAAUGUUGGGUUAAGUCCCGCAACGAGCGCAACCCUUAUCCUUUGUUGCCAGCGGUCCGGCCGGGAACUCAAAGGAGACUGCCAGUGAUAAACUGGAGGAAGGUGGGGAUGACGUCAAGUCAUCAUGGCCCUUACGAGUAGGGCUACACACGUGCUACAAUGGCGCAUACAAAGAGAAGCGACCUCGCGAGAGCAAGCGGACCUCAUAAAGUGCGUCGUAGUCCGGAUUGGAGUCUGCAACUCGACUCCAUGAAGUCGGAAUCGCUAGUAAUCGUAGAUCAGAAUGCUACGGUGAAUACGUUCCCGGGCCUUGUACACACCGCCCGUCACACCAUGGGAGCGGGUUGCAAAAGAAGUAGGUAGCUUAACCUUCGGGAGGGCGCUUACCACUUUGUGAUUCAUGACUGGGGUGAAGUCGUAACAAGGUAACC
This 681-nucleotide ribosomal RNA is filed under the name uncultured bacterium. RNAcentral describes it as "bacterial SSU rRNA". It matches the Rfam family "Bacterial small subunit ribosomal RNA", at positions 819 to 1501 of the family's 1533-position model. The record is from RNAcentral.